CAGCCGUAAACAAUGUGCGUUAGGUGUGUCGGUAACCACGCGUUACUGAUGCGCCGAAGAGAAAUCGUGAAACGCACCACCUGGGAAGUACGGUCGCAAGGCUGAAACUUAAAGGAAUUGGCGGGGGAGCACCACAACAGGUGGAGCCUGCGGUUUAAUUGGAUUCAACGCCGGACAUCUCACCGGAUAAGACAGCUGAAUGAUUGUCAAUCUGAAGGUUUUACAUGACUAGCUGAGAGGUGGUGCAUGGCGGUCAGUGACU
This 262-nucleotide ribosomal RNA is filed under the name uncultured archaeon. RNAcentral's name for it is "partial 16S ribosomal RNA". It matches the Rfam family "Archaeal small subunit ribosomal RNA", at positions 748 to 1009 of the family's 1478-position model. The record is from RNAcentral.